This 305-nucleotide ribosomal RNA is filed under the name uncultured bacterium. Its description in RNAcentral is "bacterial SSU rRNA". It matches the Rfam family "Bacterial small subunit ribosomal RNA", at positions 338 to 640 of the family's 1533-position model. The record is from RNAcentral.
CCUACGAGAGGCAGCAGUGAGGAAUAUUGGUCAAUGGCCGCAGGGCUGAACCAGCCAAGUCGCGUGAGGGAUGACGGUCCUAUGGAUUGUAAACCUCUUUUGCCGGGGAGCAAGCCUGAGCACGUGUGCCCAGGCGGAGAGUACCCGGAGAAAAAGCAUCGGCUAACUCCGUGCCAGCAGCCGCGGUAAUACGGAGGAUGCGAGCGUUAUCCGGAUUUAUUGGGUUUAAAGGGUGCGUAGGCGGGCUGUUAAGUCAGCGGUAAAAGCCCGGGGCUCAACCCCGGCGCGCCGUUGAAACUGGCCGU